RNAcentral lists this small nuclear RNA (161 nucleotides) under Cicer arietinum (chickpea). Its description in RNAcentral is "U1 spliceosomal RNA". It matches the Rfam family "U1 spliceosomal RNA". From Rfam's summary of the family: U1 is a small nuclear RNA (snRNA) component of the spliceosome (involved in pre-mRNA splicing). Its 5' end forms complementary base pairs with the 5' splice junction, thus defining the 5' donor site of an intron. The record is from Rfam by way of RNAcentral. Lineage: Eukaryota; Viridiplantae; Streptophyta; Magnoliopsida; Fabales; Fabaceae.
AUACUUACCUGGAUGGGGUCAAUGGAUGAUCAAGAAGUUUCAUGGCCUAUGUUGGUGACCUCCAUUGCACUUUGGAGGGGUGCCUCCAUAAGGUGUUCUCAAGUGGAACAGCCUACAUCAUAAUUUGUUGGAGUGGGGGUCAGCGUUCGCGCGGCCCCUUC